AUUGAACGCUGGCGGCAUGCUUUACACAUGCAAGUCGAACGGUAACAGGUCUUCGGAUGCUGACGAGUGGCGAACGGGUGAGUAAUGCAUCGGAACGUGCCCAGUCGUGGGGGAUAACGCAGCUGGAAACGGUUGCUAAUACCCCAUAUGCCGAAAGGUGAAAGGAUUUAUCUACCUUAGGAAGAGCUCGCGUCUGAUUAGCUAGUUGGUGAGGUAAAGGCUCACCAAGGCCAUGAUCAGUAGCUGGUUUGAGAGGACGAUCAGCCACACUGGGACUGAGACACGGCCCAGACUCCUACGGGAGGCAGCAGUGGGGAAUUUUCCGCAAUGGGCGAAAGCCUGACGGAGCAAUACCGCGUGAGGGAUGAAAGCCUGUGGGUUGUAAACCUCUUUUCUCAAGGAAGAAGUUCUGACGGUACUUGAGGAAUAAGCAUCGGCUAACUCUGUG
RNAcentral lists this ribosomal RNA (448 nucleotides) under uncultured bacterium. RNAcentral describes it as "bacterial SSU rRNA". It matches the Rfam family "Bacterial small subunit ribosomal RNA", at positions 30 to 507 of the family's 1533-position model. The record is from RNAcentral.